This 27740-nucleotide long non-coding RNA is filed under the name Gossypium barbadense (sea-island cotton). RNAcentral describes it as "long non-coding RNA (GBAR_LNC023020)". The record is from RNAcentral. Lineage: Eukaryota; Viridiplantae; Streptophyta; Magnoliopsida; Malvales; Malvaceae.
UCAACAGCUUCAAGGCUAUCAUAAAUCUAGAGAAGAUUCGUAGUACAGUGUCGUACAUGGGGGUGAAUGGUCGGAAUGGUAGUGGCUUCUAUACCUAUUCCAUUGGAAUUGUUAUGAAAGGACAAGAUAUGGAAUUGGUGAAAAUUUUCACCAUGUGGAUGAUCAUUGAUCUAUCAAACAAUCAGUUUGAAGGGGGUAUUCCAAAGGUUAUUGGGAAGCUUAACUUACUGAAAGGGCUCAACCUUUCUCAUAAUAACCUUAGUGGUGGUAUCCCCACCUCAACAGGGAAUUUGACAAGUCUUGAAUGGUUAUGUAGUUUUAGAUGUUAAGGAUAGGCUGUUAUAUGAAAGGUCGCGAUGUUUUAGAUUUGGAAGGUUUGAGAACAUGCGAAGCUCUAUGACACCACUAAGAUUAUUUGAGGAUAAGCUGAGGGAGGUAAGAUUGAGAAGUUGGAAUAUUGAAGAUGGAAGAGGACCUUGGAGUUUAUUAUUUUCUAGAUCUAAAUAUUCUAGUGAUUUGGUUUGGAAUUCUUUGAUAUGACGGAAGUGUUCCAUUGAGUAAAUUGUCAAAUAACACUAAAUAUAUUAGAUUCGGAACAGCGGUUACCUCAUCUGGAAUAGAACCUUCUAAAGAAUUUUCAGAUAUUUCCAAGUAUUCCAACUGCGUUAGGUUUAGAAUUGACAAUGGAAUUUGUCCACUCAAUUUGUUUGAUCCCAAGUCUAAAUGAGUGAGUUGCAAGAGGUUUCCAAGUGAUCUUGGACCGGUCCUGAUAAGUUGGAAUCGGAGAGAACUAAAAACUUCAAGGACACAAGAUUCCCCAUCGAGUCAGGCAAUCCUCCAAAAAAAUUUGCGCCUCUAAUAAUCAAGUACUCCAAAGAUGAUAAAUUUGUGAUUGAGGCAGACAAUCCUUGAAAGAAAGAAUUUCCUGAUAGGUCUAGGUACUUUAAGGCCUGUAGAUUAUCAACCGAAUCAAUGAAUUCUGUAGAGAAGGACAUCCACGACAGAUCCAAAUGUUCGAGAUUGCUGCUCCGAUUGAACUUCAAAGUAUCAAGGUUGAGGUUUUGGUUACGUCCCAAGUUGAGGAGAUUGAGGUUUGGCAAAUCAAAAAUGUUUUUUGGGAAUUUUCCUUGCAAAUCACAACCAGCAAGACUGAGAGACCUUAGAGAAGAGGAUAGAUUCAUGAACACAUGAGCAUUAACAGAAGACAUGUUGAUUCCAUCCAAAAACAGGUGUCUGACCUCGGUUAGGUUGUGAACAAGUCCCUCCAGAGCAUAUUUGUCAAUUGUUUGUUCACCAAACACAGAGGAGGAGAGAUCAAGUGAAACCAAUUUUGACAGGUGGGAGACUUGGGAUGGGACUUCUCCUGCAAACCAUGUAUAAGAAAGCUUGAGGUAGAAUAGGCUUGUAAACCGACCGAACUCGGACCUAUCUUCAAACAUAUUAAAUACCCAUUCACUUCAAUUCUACUAUUCUUAAAUCAUUAAAGUUUUGUGGAAAAUAUGCUUCUUGGAUAAAAAUUAUUCAACACACAUGCCUUGAAUUUUAUGCAAUAAAAUAAAUCAAUAUAGGCCACACAUGCUUUGAAUUUUUAAGUAGUCCACAAUUUUGUUCGUUUGUGUGCAAGAUUCUACAUUGCUUGACAGCCAUACAUACUAAGUAAAUAGACACCCACAUUGUUUACGUAUUAUGAGGAAGAAGAUUAAGUCAAUCUACUUUGUAAUCUCAUCAAUCUUAAUUUUCUCAGUUGUUUAGGGAGUUCAAAUGAAAUACAAAAUUUUGGAAAAAAAAUGUAUCCAAUUUUGUGAAUGAAAAAUAUAUGGUAAAAAGGAUUUGGUAUGGAUACUUCGGCCCGGGUAUCAAUACUCAGAGUAAGUUAAAGCAUCAGUGGAUGAAGAAGGAUCUGGUUGGUGCAAAUGAAGUUAAAGCAUUUGUGCUGUGUCUUCAUAAUUUCUUGUUUAGUAGUCUGUCAGAAAGUUUUUCCUAUGGUGAAAAGUUGCAUUGGUAUGUGUCUGUUUUUAUGAUUGUACCAAUUCCUCUGUAUUUCAUUGCAUUUCGUACUAUUUGUAAGGGUUUAGUUCGAGUGUAACAUCUUGUAUGGUGCAACUAUGUGUGUCUUCUUUCUUGAAUUUCAAUUUUUAGUAAACAUUGUACUGCUCACCAUAAAAAAGGAUACAUGUAGAAUUACAAAAGAUUCAAUUAUUCAAGUUUGAGUUGCAUUUAUAAACACGUGGCGAUGAGAAUUUAUGAACGUAAGGUAUGGUUUGAGCCCUUUUGCCAUAUGCAUUUAUGUUGCAGAUGUUCAAAUAUUAAUUUAAGAGUAAUAUUUACAAUAGCAUUGCAGAGUAACAUAUUUAAGAUUGGAUUACACAGUCAAAAGAUUGCAGCAACGAUGAGAUUAAUACAAUUACAGGAAUUGGUAUCCUACAUGGCUUUUAGGCACGUAGCUUCAUUGACGAUGAGAUAAUUUUAGGAGGAAGCAACAGCAAGUGUGAAGUCAAUAGACAAUUGAUAGUCUUUAUUCUUUUGUGUGGAAAAUUAUUUGGGACCAAACUUAACGUGUUAUAAGGAAGAAGACUUUGUAAUCUCAUGAAAUGUUAAUUAUUUUACUUCUUUGGUAAAAAAAAAGGAAUUAAUUUUAUGAAUGAAAAACAUAUGGUAAAAAGGAAAUAGUUGUUGAUCACUAACAACAUGAUGAUUGUGGAAAUACAAAAAUUCCCAUAUAUGUGUUGAAUUCUGCAUAAUGUAAAUGUCCCGCAUUGCAUGUGAAUUCUGCAAUAGACCAAAUUUUACGUGUUAUAGUCCUUUAAACUGAGUUAAUGAAAAGUAAUCAUUCUUAUCAAAAUUAGUUAUACUCUUAAUUUAUAAUAAAAGAAAGAGUAAUUUGAGUUUAACUCAAAGGUUAAUAUGUCAUCAAUGGGCGAUGGCAUGGCGCUACCAUGUCAGCGAUUAUUUUCUUCUUUGAGUUAAGGUGAUUUCACCAAUUUUAGUUUACUUUUUAACUUCAAUUUAGGUUUAUGCUUAUUAGCUUCGAAGAUUCUAUGUGGGUGCCACAAUCAAAGGGUGAGUAAAAAGGGUUAAAAAUAAUUUUUUUUAAAAUAUUUUUAUUUUUAUUAAAAAUUUAGAAUUAGAAUUAGACAAAUUUUGUAAAUGUUAAGGGCUAACUUUAUUGAAUUUUUUUUUUCAGAAUUCGAACUAAAAUGACAAAUUUUGUAAAAAGCGCUAAAUUUGUUGAAUUUUUUAUAUUUAAGAUCAAAUUGAUAGAAUGUGUAAAUAUUAGAGGUUAAAUUCGUUAUUAGAUAAAAAAAAACCCACAUCAGCUUUCCGUCACUCAUCUAACGACAACUAAAGGGAGAGUGAUUAAAAUAUUUAAUUUCAAAAAGUUUAGCAACUAAUUGGAAAAUUUAAUAGUUGGGUGACUAUUUUUAUAGUUUACAACUUUUUUGGUCACCUGACUAUUAAGUGACACUUUUUUGUUGGAAUAAUAAUAAUUUUAGUCCUCAAUUUUUAUACUUUUUGUCAAUUUAACUCUGAUUAUAUAAAAUGAUUACAAAAAUGAAAUUCUUUUUAAAUUUUACAAAAUUAUAAAAAUUAAAAAUUAAAUGAAAGUAGAUAAGAAUUUCAAAUAUAAAUAAAGUGAGAGAAAAUGAGGGAAAUAUCAUUUUUAAACCCUACAAAUUGUCUUUGUAUUAUCUGUAAAGAAAUAUCUAAUAUCCAUUCUUUUAGAAAACAUAGAAAAAAGUUAAAAAAAGAUUAAGUAAAAUUAUCUGUAUAUAAUCUGCUUUUAUAAUUUGGGUUUUUAAAAAUAAAUUUAAAUGAAUUGAAAAUUCAAAUUGAGUUUGAAAAAGAAAAUUUUGAGGUAUAUUUUAUAUUUUUGCUAGAAAAAUGGCAUCAAAGUCGAUUUCGUAAGCUUUUGUAAUAUCAGUUACAGAUGUUCUUCAAGGGCAUGGAACUCAACUUGAAAAUUUUACUAAUUUGGUUGCAAAAAACAUUGAGGAAGCAUAUAAUGAUCUAACCUUUUUUUUUUGUUUUGUUCUGUUUUUAAUUUGUUAUGGGAUUCUAUUGAAUGAUAAUUUUUUUUAUUUCCCAUACAUUUUAGUUCUUCAACAACAACAUAUUCGAGAUUUUAUUUUUCUAGAAUUUUUAUAUAGAAGUUUAUAUUUUUUAAAAUAAUUUUGAGUUUCUUUUUAUAAUUUUUAUAUAGAAUCGAGGUAGAUUGGCAAAAAAAAUUAUAUAACAAAAUAGUAAAAUUGUUAUUAUAGCAACUACAAAGUGUCAUUUAACAAUAGGGUGACCAAAUUGUAACUUUUUUAGUUAAGUGACCAAAACGAAGAUUUACCCAUAGUUCAGUGGCUAAUUAUGUAGUUUACCCUUUCAUGAUUAAAAAAAUAGUUGUUAAGUUUUUCUUGUAUUAGAUAAGAUUUUAGAUGGUAAAAACCCUCGUUAGUCGCUCUCAAUUUUGAUAUUAAGUAAAUUGGUCCAUUUAAAAAAAAUCAAAGCAAUUUAAUCUUUGUUAAUUUCGAAAGUGAGUAGCUAAGGACAAUUAAUCACAAUGUCAAUAUUUUCCAUCAAUUGUACAUAUUUUUAUUGGUAUAAUAACAAAUUUAGCUCUCAAAGUUUACACAUUCUGCCAAUUUGGUCUUGAUUUAACAAAUUUAGCCCGCAACAAUUACAUAUUCUAUUAACAUUUACACAUAAUAUAUAAACAUCGAGAGCUUAAUUUGUUAUUAUAUCAAUAAAAAUUAUGUACAAUUUAUAGAAAGCAUUAACACAAUGAUUAAUUGUCCUUAGUUGCUCCCUUUCAAAAUUGAUAAUGAUUAAAUUGCUCUAAUUUUCUGAGAGGAACCAAUUUGUUCAAUAUAGAAAUUGAGAGGGACGAGAAAUGUGUUUUUUUUAUCCAUUUUAGAUACCAACAAGUGUUUGGCGUAGUGGCAAGGCAUAUUACAUUCUGAAGGAGAGAAUGCGUAUUCGUUGGAGAUAACAAUGUUGUGUGGGGUAUUCACGGAUCUCGAACACAGACUGUAAAACAUAUAUAAAGAAUAAAAAGAAUAACAUCUUAAUUUAAAUAAUUAAUAAAUUUUAAUUUGAAAAAAAGUAUUUUGAGAAACAUAGGUUUUAUAAAUAGUAAAAUUGAAUCGAUAAAACAUGUCCAUUAUAUCAGAAUCAUAAAAAUACAACUUAAUUAAUUUGAAUUUAAACUUAACUCAACUCAAUUUGAUUAUAAAAAAUUGAUAAUUUGAAUCCAAAAUGACAUGAUCUUGAAAUGAUUUGAUUUAGUGAUCAAACCCGAAUGGCAAAACUCGAAAUGAUGCAAUCCAAAAACACAAAGCAAAUGAACUAAACUAUGAAAAAAAAAAACCUUACACCGACUCAAAUCCAAAAUAAUUUAAUCCUAAAAUAACCUAAAUUUUAUGUAAUAUAAACUCGAAAUAACCCGAAAAUUUUUAAAUUAAAAUUGACCCGACCCAAAUUCACACCACCUAAAAUCAAUCGUAACCACCUAAUUAAAAAGCAUGAAAUGAAAUGAUGUAAAGAGAAAAUCAGAGAAAACCAAAUAGAAAGUAACAAGCUUUUUUCAGAAUUGAAAGCAAAUUCCGUACAUUCACGACAUGCAUAAAACAACAAUGGUUUAUAGAAUUUGAGUUUUAGUCCUGUACUUUUAAAGUUAAUUUUUCUUAAUUUAAAAAUAUUAGUUUAAUUAUUUAUGUUGGUUGUAGUUUCCGUUAGCUUAAUCAACAUGUUAAAUUACUAAAUUUUGACAGAAAAUACUUACGAGUUUAAUGAUUGUACCGAGAUUUUUAAAUAAAAAAGUCGGAAGACUUAAUUUCUAACCUUUUAAAUAUAGGGACUAAAAGCAUCUUUUAACUUUGAUAUUAUUAUUAUAAGUAGGGAUAAUGUCACCUUUGAUAUCUGUACUUUCAUAAAAUGUCUAGUGGUACAAGUACUUUGAAAAUAUAUAAUGUGGUACUAUCAGUAUGUGUUAUUAUUAUGGUACAUGUACUUUGAAAAUGUUUAAUGUGGUACCUAAACUAUUUAUAUAUGGUUUAUUAUGAUCCUUGGUAAAGACGGACUAUUAUGGUGGCUUAGGGGGCUCUUUGUCCCGCCACCCAUGCAAAAAAAAAAAAAAUCGGAGAAUUUUGUUUUUUCCUUUGAAAUUUUUAGAAAAUUUCAAUUAAGCCCCAAAAAUUUUUUAAAUUUUUCAUUAUACCUUUUAAUUUUUUUUGAAAAUUUUAAUUAAGUGCUCUUAAAAUUUUGAAAAUUCUCAUUAAUCUCACAAAAAAUUUUAAAUUUUUUUAUUAGACCCCCAAUUUUUUUAAAAAAUCUUAUUAAACCCUUAAAUUUUAGUGAAUUCCCCCAAUUUUUGAAAGGGCUUAAAAGUUUGGAAAGGUUAGACCUCUCUUGCAACAAAAUUGAAGGCAAGAUUCCACAGUGGAUGCAAGAGGUGGGGAAUGGCUCUUUGACUUACUUAAAUGUAUCUCACAACUCAUUGACAGAAGUUGAGCACUUUCCAUGGAAUAAUAUUGCAGUUCUUGACUUAAGCUCCAAUUUGAUCCGUGGAAAUCUUCCGAUUCCAGCUUCGACAAUCAAUGUCUUUCUGAUCUCAAAUAAUAGUUUCAAUGGAGAGGUCUCUUCUUUAAUAUGCAAUGCCAGUUCUCUUCAAAUUCUUGAUUUGUCCCACAAUAACUUGAGUGGAACAAUUCCUCAAUGUUUUGGAAAUUUCAGCUACCAGCUUCAAUUCUUGAAUCUGAAGAAGAACAAGUUCUAUGGGACGAUUCCUCCAACAUUUGCAGAGUUUUUCCAAUUGAGUAAUUUCAACUUAAAUGGAAAUCUGUUAGAAGGGCCUUUGACACCAUCCAUCGUUAAUUGUUAUGAGCUGAAAGUGCUAGAUCUUGGUAACAACAAGAUCAAUGAUACAUUUCCUCAUUGGUUGGGAAGUCUUCCACACUACAAGUUCUUGUAUUGAAGUCAAAUCAUAUGCAUGGUUCCUUAUGUGUCAAUAGCUCCAAGUCUAGCCCUUUUUUCUCUAAAAUCCAAAUUUUUGACCUCUCAAGUAAUUAUUUUUCUGGACCCCUACCAGUGAGAUACAUCAACAGCUUCAAGGCUAUCAUAAAUCUAGAGAAGAUUGGGAGUACAGUGUCGUACAUGGGGUUGAAUUAUCCUUGGGGUCCUGGCUUCUAUACCUAUUCCAUUGGAAUAGUUAUGAAAGGACAAGAUAGGGAAUUGGUGAAAAUUUUCACCAUGUGGAUGAUCAUUGAUCUAUCAAACAAUCAGUUUGAAGGGGGUAUUCCAAAGGUUAUUGGGAAGCUUAACUUACUGAAAGGGCUCAACCUUUCUCAUAAUAACCCUAAUGGUGAUAUCCCCACCUCAAUAGGGAAUUUGACAAGUCUUGAAUGGUUGGACCUAUCUUCAAGCAGUUUGUCUGGGACGAUUCCAAAUAGAUUGGUAGAUCUGCCAUUUCUUUCGUCCGUAAAUUUUCUGAAAAUCAACUCCAUGGUCAGAUUCCUCAAGGCAAACAAUUCAAAGGAAAUAAGGGACUAUGUGGAUUUCCGGUCUCAAAAGGUUGCAACAUCAUUGAGCCAGCACCUCCAAAUGUGCUUGGAAAAGAUGGCUCAAAAUCAAACAUUGCUUUUGGUUGGAAAGUGGUGUUGAUAGGUUAUGGAUGCGGAGUAGUGUUCGGAAUGUUCGUGGGAUAUGUUGUUUUCCAAACUGGAAAGCCGAAAUGGUUGGUGAAUUUGGUUGAAGACCAACAUGAGAAUAGGCGAAGAAGAAAGUCAAAGAAAGGCAAUUGCAGCAGUAGACGAAGAAGGAUCUAAUUACUGCAAAUGAUGGUGAAGAAUUAGUGUUGUAUUUUCAUAAUUUCUUAGUCUGUAGACCGUUUUGCCUAUGGUGAAGGGUUGCAUUGGUAUGUGUCUGUCUUUAUUAUUGUACCAAUUCCUCUGUCUUUCAUUGCAUUUCGUACUUUCAGUAAUGGUUUGUUUGAGUGUAACAUUUUGUAUGGUGGUGUUGUUUAUGUCUUCUUUCAUGACUUUCAAUUUAGUCUCGAUAAUCUUUGCUACUGCUCAGUAAAGGAGAAAGGAGAACAAAAUGGCGCAAUGAUCUCUGUUGUAUUUUCAUAAUUUUUUUACAAGUUAGCAGUAAAAGGUUUGGUUAUAUGGAGAAAGUAAUAAUAUAUAGCAGAGUUGAAGGAAUGAUAUAAUGAAUUGAAACAUGGAACAAUGCAGACUGUAAAAGGGUACAUAUAGGUUGCUUUAAUUGCUAAAAUGGAAAGACUGUAAAAUGGAACAAUGCAGAAAUUGGUGUUGUUAUUAUGGAGUUCAAAGGUUAAUAUUCAUGCUUGUAGAUUUGACGCGGAAUGUAGAUGAACUGAAGGCUGUUUUGGCAUUAUGCCAAUUUCCACAUUCAUACAUAUAAAGGAAGCAAGACCAAGUCAAUAUCAUCAACUCUAAUUAUUUCACUUCUUUCUUUAGGGAGUUCAAAUGGUGGCCCGGAAGGAGUGAAAAUGUCACCUAGAAAGAGGGUAUCACAUAUCAAAGCACGAAAGUCGUCAUAAAAAUUUUAAAAACAAGGAAGAUUGAGCCAUCAACAGUGUUAUUGUGAAACCGAUCAUAAGGUAUCGCAAUGCCCAAAACUCCCAAGGAUCCCCACGACUGUUGUGAAUUUCGCGAUACCAAACUUGGUAUCGCAAUAUCAUUGAUGAGAGGAGACAAAAUAUAACAGUAGGGUAAUCCUUUUCCAACAUGUCCCCUAACCAAAAUUAGAUGAUCAUGGACAAUUUGGUCACUAUUUUUGGAUCUGUAAUUUGCUAGAAAGGGCAAAAAAUUGGCUGAACAAAAGGCAACACUUAACAUUUCAUGUUUUUCAAUUUUUCUCUUUAUUUUUAGAGUUUUAGUUUUCUUCUCCAUAACUCUAGGGUUUAAUUCAUGUUUUCUUUGAGUUUUUCUUGGUUCCAAUAAUAGUAGUUAGUUAAGUUAAUUAUCACUGUAGCUAGGAUUUAUUGGCUCGUUUAGUACCUUUAACUCUUUGUAUUUUCAGCUUAAUCCUUGGUUUUAAUAUAAAUAAAUUCCCUUCAUCAUUAAAAAUCUAUUUUUAGGGUUUUUUUUUACAUUUCCUUUGCUACCAUUGUAAUUGUUUUCAAGCUUUUCUCAUUUUUCUCAUGUUUUCUAGUUAUGCCUAUUUUGUAUGAUUGUUGUAUUUUUGUUUGUUUAAAUAUGAUUAUGGGUAACUAAAUCUGAAGUGAAAUUUGGCAUUAUGAAAAUGUCCAACAUUGCUUGUGGAUUAAUUCAUUAAUUCAUGUCUAUGUUUUAUUUAUUCAAAUGAUUAAUAGCUAAUUUGAUCCUUAAAUUAUAGUUCAAAAAGUAUUUUUAUAUUUUCAAAUUUUCAUAAAUAUAAUUGUAGCAAAAUUUAAAAAUCUGAAAAUAAAUAAAAAUUUUAUAUAAAAAAAUCAAUUGGUGCAAGAAAAAAAAAUUUCCAACUACUUUUUCCACAUCCAAUCUCAUAAAUAAUCAGUCUUUGAACUUUCACAAAAAAAUAUUAAAUACCCAUUUACUUUAAUUCUGCUCGUUUUUCAUUUGCUUUAUUGAUGUAUGCUCUCUUCAUAUUAUCUUUCUUUGCCUUUUUUUUUCCUCCUUUUUCAUGUAGAUCUGCGUCGACUCUACUAUUCUUGGAUCAUUAUAAAUAUAAUAUAUUUUUUUAUUUAUAGCUGAAAGUAAAACAUUGAGUUGAAAUUUGGCAAAAAAAAUUGUGGGUUUGGAGAAGAAGAAGAGCACUUCAUAUUUAAAUUUAAAAAAUCUAAAAUUCCAAAAUCGAAAGUUAGUCAAAACCCUAAACAAUCUAAUAAUUGGGGUUGUAGAAAAGAAAUAUGGGUUUAGAAAUAAAUAAAACAAAAUAAAUUUGCAAAACAAUUUCUAGGCAAAACAGCAUUAAAUUAAGGACUAAAAUAUUUUUUUUUAUAAAGCUUAGAGUGAAAUGAGUUUUUGGGAAACUGAAAAAAAAGUGAAAUGGGAAUGUUUGUACUAAUACACAUGGCAUUAUUGGACAGUAGACAAUAACUAAAAUGUUGCGUUAAUUUGUUUAUUGGACAUUCUUCUGCAAUGCUUAGAAAAUUUUAAUAUAUGUUUUAUUUUUAAAAUUUUUAAAAUUUAUGCUUCUUUUUCUUCUUCAGGAUCUCACUCCUGCUCUUCAUUAAUCCAGUUCAAGAACUCUUUUUCCAUAAUAGAGGAUGCUUCUUCUUAUUGCAAUGAUUUUGCUGGCCUUAAAUCUUAUCCCAAGACAAAUUCAUGGAAGGAGGGUACAGAUUGCUGCUCAUGGGAUGGGGUCACUUGUGACCACCUAAAUGCUCAUGUUAUUGCUCUUGACUUGAGCUGCAGUUGGCUAUAUGGCAACUUCCCUUAGCAGCCAAAAAAACCCAAUUGAGAACUGGGUUCCAAAUCAGACAAGGCAAAAGCCAAAUCAUCUGGGAUUGGUGGAGAGUGAUGUGUCAGAAGAAGAAGAAGAGGAAGAAGGGGUUUGAGAUGUGACAACUAUUGCACUGCAUUGCAGUCUGCAAUUGAGAACUGGGGCCUCCUGCUUAUUUAUAUUAACUAUCCACUACUCGUUAUUGUCGUGUCGUGUGAACUUAUGAGGAAACAUAGUGCUUUCAUUCUGUGCUUCGUACUUUUUUACUACCAAGGAGGUGCAGUUAAAUUGUACUAUUAGCAGGAUUAGAGGUGGUUUAUAGGGAGUGUGUUCUUUUAGUGGGUAUGAACUCUCCCUUUCAUAUUAAUUGGGUUUUAUUAUUUUGGCCCAAAGGUGGGGAUUGUAGUGUAUGGAUAUUAUUAUUAUUAUUCACAGUGGCAACGCCCACCUCGUCUACCAAACGACAAAUAUAACCUUUGAAAUUGACCAAACUUUGUUCGGUCAUAACAUUGACCAUUGACGACAAGAAAAGUUUGUUUUCCAUUAUAUCUUAACCUUUGAAGCAUUGUAUGUGGCCACCCACGUAGUCAACUAUUUAUGUUAUGUCACGACAAAAACAGCAUCCUCCUUUGUCUUUGAAAUUCGACAUUAAUAAUGGAGUUCUUUUUGCACACAUGCAUUCUAUUUAUUAUUUUGAAUACAAUUCUAAUCUAGAUUUUUGGCUUUACAUUUUUUUUAUUUAAUCAUCAAGUUGUCCAUGUUCUUUAAUUUUUUUUAAAAAAACUAAGUUGCAUUUCCUUUUUUUUAAAAUUAACGAUAUAUUGAAAUCAUUAUUGAAAUUAUAAUCAAAAUUAAUACAUGUUCUUUUUAUUAGCUUAAGGGCAUAAAAACCCUUCAAAAUUUUCAAAAAUAAAAAUAAAAAUUUAAGUCCCUCUUUUUUUUUUACACUUAAUUGAGCAUUUAAACUUUUAAAAUGUAUCAAAAAUAUCUUUACACUUCUUAAAAAAAGCAAUUAAAUCCCUAUUUUUUUCUGCUCAAUUGGGUACUUGAACUUUCAUAAUGCAUAAAAAAGGAUCACAUCCUUUAGUUCCUUAUUUUACAUAUUUCAUUGCGGAUGAGGUUGUCUUAAAAGAUCUUUCAUACCUCAUUAUAUAUGUCUGUUGCAAAGAACUUUUGGUUGGUUAUCUCAAGCUUACAUUUUUGCCACAUGUUUGCUUUGAUGCGUGUUGCCCGGAGUCUUCUCCAGAAUGAACACUUACUCAUAGAACCUUAUGUGAGUUUAUUAUUUCAAUGAUUUAGAAGUACACGAACUAAUGCAAAUAUGCUAGUGGUUUAUUUUCCACCUAUCUGAUUUUUUAAAAUGUUCUUCAGUUACACCAGUUGAUGCCUUCUAUUAUUACCUGCCUCGUUGCAAAAAGGUUAGGAAAUAAAUUCACCGACAAUCAUUGGGAACUUAGAAACUUCGCAGCAAAGCUAGUGGCAUCAAUAUGCAAAAGGUGAAGAUUUCUUUUCUUUUGGACUUAUACAUGCAUUUUCGUUUUUAUGAAUUUCAGAUGUCUGAUUUUUUAGUUAUAAACUUGGAUCUAUUCUUCAAAUCAAGUGUAUAUCAUUUUCAUGCUAUUUCACACAUGCAAAACAAAUGGUGCGAGCAUGCAUGUUAUAUGCAGAAUACAUAGAUUAAUUACGUGUGGAUCAUUAAGCAUGCCUAUGUUUGACCAAUGUGUGUGGCUACUUUUUUUUUUUACAUGAUCCAAUUUUCGAUAUGCUUUGCUUUUAGGUUGAAUGCGGAAAAGAUUAGAACUUAAUUUCCAGCAUAAUGAUUUGUCUUGGAUAUGCAGAUUUUUACAUGCAUUUCUUACAAGUCAAUAUUUAUAGAUUUGGGCAUGUUUAUCACAAUCUUCAGCCACGUGUGACAAGGACACUGCUCCAUGCUUUUUUGGACCCAACGAAAACAUUUCCCCAGCAUUACGGAGCAAUUCAAGGGUUAGCAGCCCUUGGACCCAGCGUGGUAUAAUUCUAAUCUCAAAUAUUUACUAGCAACACAAUAAGAUACUUGUUUGUGGGAUCAAUUGGUCAAAGAUAUUGCAAUGAUAGCCAUCUUUUUGACAGAAGUUGAGCACUUUCCGUGGAAUAAUAUUGCAGUUCUGGACUUAAGCUCCAAUUUGAUCCGUGGAAAUCUUCCGAUUCCAGCUUCGACAAUCAAUGUCUUUCUGAUCUCAAAUAAUAGUUUCAAUGGAGAGGUCUCUUCUUUAAUAUGCAAUGCCAGUUCUCUUCAAAUUCUUGAUUUAUCCUACAAUAACUUGAGUGGAACAAUUCCGCAAUGUUUUGGAAAUUUGAGCGACAGCCUUGAAUUCUUGAAUCUGAAGAAGAACAUGUUUUAUGGGACGAUUCCUCCAACAUUUGCAGAGGGAUGCCAGUUGACUAAUUUCAACUUAAAUGGAAAUCUGUUAGAAGGGCCUUUGACACCAUCCAUCCUUAAUUGUAAUGAUCUGGAAGUGCUAGAUCUUGGUAACAACAAGAUCAAUGAUACAUUUCCUCAUUGGUUGGGAAGUCUUCCAAAGCUACAAGUUCUUGUAUUGAAGUCAAAUCAUAUGCAUGGUUCCUUGCGUGUCAAUAGCUCCAAGUCUAGCCCUUUUUUCUCUAAAAUCCAAAUUUUUAAUCUCUCAAGUAAUUAUUUUUCUGGACCCCUACCUGUGAGAUACAUCAACAGCUUCAAGGCUAUCAUAAAUCUAGAGAAGAUUCGUAGUACAGUGUCGUACAUGGGGGUGAAUAAUCGGAAUGGUAGUGGCUUCUAUACCUAUUCCAUUGGAAUUGUUAUGAAAGGACAAUAUAUGGAAUUGGUGAAAAUUUUCACCAUGUGGAUGAUCAUUGAUCUAUCAAACAAUCAGUUUGAAGGGGGUAUUCCAGAGGAUUUUGGGAAGCUUAACUUACUGAAAGGGCUCAACCUUUCUCAUAAUAACCUUAAUGGUGGUAUCCCUACCUCAAUAGGGAAUUUGACAAGUCUUGAAUGGUUGGACCUAUCUUCAAACAGGUUGUCUGGGACGAUUCCAAAGAGAUUGGCAGAUCUGCCAUUUCUUUCGUCCUUCAAUGUUUCUGAUAAUCAGCUCCAUGGUCAGAUACCUCAAGGCAAACAGUUCAACACAUUUGGAAAUGAUUCAUAUGAAGGAAACAAGGGAUUAUGUGGAUUUCCGGUCUCGAAAGGUUGCAACAUCAUUGAGCCAGCACCUCCAAAUGUGCUUGAGAAAGAUGGCUCAAAAUCAAACAUUACUUUUGGUUGGAAAGUGGUGUUGAUAGGUUAUGGAUGCGGAGUGGUGUUGGGAACGUCCGUGGGAUAUGUUGUUUUCCAAACUGGUAAGCCGAAAUGGUUGGUGAAUUUUGUUGAAAUCCAACAUGAGAAGAAGCGAAGACGAAAGUCAAAGGAUGGCAGCCGCAGCAAUGGACGAAGAAGGAUCUAGUUAGUGGAAAUGAUGUUCAAGUGUUGAUGUUGUAUCUUCAUAAUUUCUUGUUUUGAAGUCUUUCAAUUUUUUUCCUAAGGUGAAAGGAUGCAUUGCCAUGCAUCUGUCUUUAUUUUUGUAACAAUCCAUCUAUAUUUCACUGCAUUACGUAGUAUUUGUAAGGGUUUGUUUUAAAUGUAACAUUUUGUAUGGUUCAACUAUUUAUGUCUUCUUUCAUGACUUUCAUUUUUGAGUCUCAAUAAUCUCUGCAUUCAAAAUUUUGUCAUCUUUUUCUCGAGUUAAACACAGUCAAUACUAUAAAAAUUUCUUCUGUGUGGAAAAUAAUUUGGCAUUCUGCAAAUUUCCACAAUGCUUAUGGAUUUCCUUUGGUUGACAGCUACACAUAUAAAGGAAAGAAACAAGACCAUGUCAAAAUUUCCAAAAAUUAGUCAUUCAUUUUUUAAAAUUGUAAAUUCUCAAAUAGUGCAAAUUAGUCCUAAAACUCAAGUUUUGAAAUCUUUACAAUUUAACCCCUUAUAGUUUCAAACUUUACUAUUUUAUGCUCAACUUUCUAAAUCUUCAUAUUUCAUGAUCAUAUAAUUCACUACAUCAAUAUUUCAGAUUUCACUACUCAAACCCUUACUUCAUUUUGGUCCUUACUUCAAUUUUAUCAAAUUACAUCAUUUUUCAAUUUGAAUGCAUUGAUGUGAAAUUGAGGGACCACUAAACAAUGUUGAUGCGAGUUUAGGCAAAAUUGGUGGAUCCCAUCUCCUUAGUAAUUUCUUUGUGGAAGUACCUACUUUCACAAUGCAAACUUGGAUAGUUUGUGGUGGACGAUGAUGAAUCAUUUCACAAUCAAACACACCAUUUUUAAACACAAAAUUAACGAUAUAUUGAAAUCAUUAUUGAAAUUAUAAUCAAAAUUAAUACAUGUUCUUUUUAUUAGCUUAAGGGCGUAAAAACCCUUCAAAAUUUUCAAAAAAUAAAAUAAAAUUUAAGUCCCUCUUUUUUUACACUCAAUUAAGCACUUAAAAACUUUUAAAAUGUAUCAAAAAUAUCUUUACACUUCUUCAAAAAAAGCAAUUAAACUCCUAUUUUAUUUCGCUCAAUUGGGUACUUGAACUUUCAUAAUGCAUCAAAAAGGCCUUAAAUUUUUUUCAAAGAAACAAUUAAGCCUCUAUUUUUUUCCCACUUAAUUGGGUACUUGAACUUUCAUAAUACAUCAAAAAGGCCUUAAAUUUUUUUCAAAAAAGCAAUUAAGCCCCUACUCUUAUUAAAAAUUAGAAAAAAAUCAUAAAAAUAAAAAAAAUUAGAAAAAAAUUAUUAAAUUUUAAUAAAAUUUAAAAACUUAUUAAAAAUUAGAAUUUUUUUAAGAAAAAUCGUCAAAAAAUAAAAAAUUAUAAAAUUUUAUAAAAAUCAUAAAAAAAUAUAAAAUCCAUCAAAAAGUCCUUUUAACAAUUAACUUUAACUAUUGAUCGUUAAAGUUAACGACCUCUAGUUUUUUCAAUUAAAGUCAUUAUGUGUCGCAACUCAGCAUGACAUGUAGCGAAAACAGAUAAAAAAGUAAAAAUCAAUAAAAGUUAUAGAAAAAUUAUAAAAUAUUUCUUUUGGUACAAUAAUUUUUAUAAAAAUUUUUUUACAAAAUUUAUAAUUCUUUACAUUUUGUAUAAUUUUCUUAUAACUUUAUAAAAUUUUAUAAUUUUUUAUAUUUCUAUAUAUUUUAUAAUUUUAUAAAAUUUUUAUAAAAUUUUACAAUUUUACAAUUUUUAAUAUUUUAUUUUUUAUUAUAAUUUAAUAAUAUUAUUGAUUUUAUUGAUUUUAAUUUUUUUUCUAAUUUUUAAUAAAAGUAGGGGCUUAAUUUAUUUUUUAAAAGUUUGAGGGUGUUUUUGAUGCAUUUUGAAAGUUCAAGUACCCAAUUGAGUGCAAAAAAGAAAGUAGGGGCUUAAUUGCUUUUUUUGAAAAAUGUUUGAGGGCCUUUUUGGUUUAUUUUGAACGUUCAAGUACCCAAAUGAGUGCAUAAAAAAAACAGGGGUUUAGUUGCUAUUUUUGAAAAAGUUUGAGGGAUUUUUGCACCCUUAAACCUCUUUUCUUUUUCUAAAUUUAAUUUAGAACCAACUUUGUGUAAAGACUUGGGAAAUUUAAUUAGCAAAAAUUCUUUCCAUGUAAAAAUUUCCCCUAUUUCUUGUUUGAAUUUAAAGCAAUACAAUAUUUUUCUAGCAAGUAACAGAAAAUGACUGUCAAUUCAUUCUAAGCAAUACAAAAUCUCCAGUCUGGUGGAAAAUUUGUUUCUUAGAUACUAUUAUUCAACUUUUAAGGCAUAAGUUUGAAUAUAGCUAGGGACUAAAAUUUUAAAGUGUUGUUUACUACACACUUAGGGACCAUAUAUGUAUAUAUAUAUAUUCCAGUCUGGGUCUUUGUCGUGUUUUGUUGGUUGGCUAUGGCCUUGUUGUUGUUUCCACUGCCUGUGGUCUUUGUUUCUAAGUCAUAUGUGGCCUUAGUUGCUAAUUUAAAGGGAGUGAAUAGAGCACCAUUUUCUUCUUCUGCGUGGAAAAUAAGUUGGCAUUAUGCCAAUUUCCACAUUCAUACAUAUAAAGGAAGCAAGACCAAGUCAAUAUACUUUCUAAUCUCAUCACUUCUUCUUUCUUUAGGGAGUUCAAGUGAAAUACAAAUUUUUCCACAUCCAAUCUCAUAAAUAAUCCAUCUUUGAACUUUCACAAAAAAAUAAUAAAUACCCAUUCACUUUAAUUCUACUAUUCUUAAAACAUUAAAGUUUUGUGGAAAAUAUGCUUCUUGGAUAAAAUUAUUCAACACACAUGCCUUGAAUUUUAUGGAAUAAAAUAAAUGAAUAUAGGCCACACAUGCUUUGAAUUUUUAAGUAGUCCACAAUUUUGUUCGUUUGUGUGCAAAAUUCUACAUUGCUUGACAGCCAUACAUACUAAGUAAAUAGACACCCACAUUGUUUACGUAUUAUGAGGAAGAAGACUAAGUCAAUCUACUUUGUAAUCUCAUCAAUUUUAAUUUUCUUAGUUAUUUAGGGAGUGUUGACAUCAUUUUUGAUGAAAACGGGGUCGACUUGGGUUUUGGGAAAAUGAAAACAAAAACGGGAGUCGCCACCAAUCCCUUUUUUAUGAGGUGUGAUUGGAUUACCUCGAAAAAUGGUUGUUUUUAAUAAACGGUUUGAUUUUAUUAAAACAACGGUUUUGGUCCACGAAAUUUAGAAAACGGGUUCGGGAGUCGGUUACGCACGAGGAAGGAUUAGCACCCUCGAUACGCCCAAAAUUGGUACCUAGUUGAUUACUUAAUGUCUUAAUGUCGAAAAUUGAGAAUUUAAAAGAAUUUUUAAAAAAAUACGAUCCUUGUAUUAAAAUGUUAAGAAAAGGAGGAUAUUUCACGUUAUUCGAGAAAAAGAAUCAUAUUCAGUAAGUUAGAAUACAAUAUCUCAAAUUCUCGAUACGCGAAUGAAAAAGUUUAUUUAAGAAAUUUUAGUCAUCUCGAAUUUAAAAAUGAGAUCAUAACCAGUAAGUUAGGAUGCGACCCCUUUUUUAAAAAUUCGAGAUCAUUUAAAACUUGAUUUUGAAAAGAUUCGUGUAUUUAGAUUCAUCGAGAAAAUCGAAACCCAGUAAGUUAGGGCACGAUUUUCUCGAAUCCAAACACGAAAUGCCAUUUAAAAAAAUUGUUACAUCAAGUAAGAUAAAACACAAAAUCAUAGUGAAAGCAAAUUACAUUUUUAUGUAUGGUAACUAAUAAAAGGUCAACAAAAUAAAAAAUAAACAAACCAGAAUAAAGACAUUUAAGCAAAUAAUAACGAACAUGUAGAUAAAUAAAUAAAUCAACAUGAAAUGAUAAUUAUAAUAAUGAAUAAAAUGGUGAUAUAUAUACGUAUGUAUGUUAGAAACAAAUUAUACGAGGUAAAAACAUAAAGUUAAAUACAAAAAAAGAAGUAUAUAUGAUUAUAAAAUACAUGUAUAUACAUAAAUAAGGAAAUAGAAAUGCUCAUAAAAUAAAAAAUAAAAAUAUUCGUAUGCACGUGUAUUAUAUUGUAAUUGCGUAGGUAUAAAUAUUAUGUAGUAUAUGUAUAUAAAUAUAUAGAUAUUAAAUAAAUAAAAAGCAGGGUAGAUAUAAAAAAAUAUUGAAUAUAUAUAAUAUAAUAUUAUUAUUAGAUAUAUAUUAAAGUUUAUAAAUAUAUAGAUUCGCAAUAAUUUUAGACGUAUAUAUUAUAGUAUAUAAAAAUAAUAAUAUAAUAAUAAAUAAAUAAAUGAGCAAAAGAAAAAACAUGCUUAAAAGGGACUUAAAUCGAAAUAAAACAAAGUUUCUGGGCUAAUUUAAGAAUAAAAAAAAAGGCGGAGGGACCUAAUUGCAAGCAGGCGUAAAAAGGAGGGACCGAAAGGGUAAUUAAACCCCCAAUGUCAGAACGACGCCGUUCCAGGAAGGAGGGCGCAGAUGAUCGAAGGACCAAAUCGAAAAACAAACUAAAUUAAUAAGCCAAUUUGCAAAAAAUUAAAAAGGAUUAAAUUUAAAAUAAUUAAAACUGCGGAGGGGCUAAACGAGCAAUUAGCCCCUUCGCAAGAAAACACGCGGAUCCUUCGGGUCGGAGCGGGUCGGGUCGCGGGUCCAAAGCGAAACGACGUCGUUUUGGGCGUUAUGGAGCUAGGCCAAAACGACGUCGUUUCACACGCCUAUAUAUUCAAAAAAAAUUUUCAAAAAAUUUCAUUCUUCUCCCCUUUUCAAAAAAAAACCGAAAUGCUCUCUCUCCCUCCCCUUUUCUCUCUGAACGCCGGCCAAAGAUCCGGCCGAGAACCACCGUACCGGCCGCCGGUCGCCGGCGCCGGCGCCGCCGUAAGCGGCGGUCGGAAGUCGAAAAGUUAGCCUUUUAAAAUCACGUUUCGAAAACCCUUCCAAAAAUCGAGUCCUUAAAGCCCUAAGGCCGAGAGAGGGAAUCUCAAAAAAUGAAACGCCUUCCUCGUCCGUUCUCAACGACUCGGACUCCGGCGACGCUACAACCGCGACGAUUCAGGUAAGUUUUGUUUAUUAAUCCUUAAGCUUAUAUUAAACAUAAAAGAAAAGGAAAGCAAAACCGAAUGGAAUCGAAAAAAGCUAAAAAAUUUCACCUUUCAACUGAUUUUUUUCUUUAUUUCUUUGAUCUUUUUUUUUUUUUUAAAAAAGAGUCCUCAUUACAUGUAUUUGUUUCGGCUUUUAUAGCCAAUUCCUAGUCUAUGCUUCUGUCUUGCUUGCUUUGAUUUAUUUACAGGGAUGGAGGUGACGGUGGCAGUUGGCGGUGGUUGCUGGCAGAGCAGGUGGGCAGAAUGACCGAAGGUCAGAAGACCCUAGGAGCGGCGCCUAGGGCUCCUCUGUUUUCUGCUAGGUCUUGUUUUGGGUUUUGGGCUGAGGGUAGGCUUAUUGGGUUAUUGGGCUAAGGGUUGUAAUUUGGACUUUUAUUUUUGUGUUUAAUUGGGCCUCGGGCAAAAUGGCCUGUAACAGGGAGUUCAAAUGAAAUACAAAAUUGAAGGCAAUAUUCCACAGUGGAUGCAAGAGGUCGGGAAUGGCUCUUUGACUUACUUAAAUAUAUCUCACAACUCUUUGACAGAAGUUGAGCACUUUCCGUGGAAGAAUAUUGAAGUUCUUGACUUAAGCUCCAAUUUGAUCCGUGGAAAUCUUCCGAUUCCUGCUUCGACGAUCAAUGUCUUUCUGAUCUCAAAUAAUAGUUUCAAUGGAGAAGUCUCUUCUUUAAUAUGCAAUGUCACUUUUCUUCAAAUUCUUGAUUUGUCCCACAAUAACUUGAGUGGAACAAUUCCGAAAUGUUUUGGAAAUUUGAGCAACAGCCUUGAAUUCUUGAAUCUAAAGAAGAACAAGUUUUAUGGGACGAUUCGUCCAACAUUUGCUAAGUGAUGCCAAUUGAGUAAUUUCAACUUAAAUGGAAAUUUGUUAGAAGGGCCAUUGACACCAUCCAGCCUUAAUUGUAGAGGUCUGGAAGGGCUAGAUCUUGGAAACAACAAGAUCAAUGAUACAUUUCCUCAUUGGUUGGGAAGUCUUCCACAGCAACAAGUUCUUGUAUUGAAGUCAAAUCAUAUGCAUGGUUCCUUAUAUGUCAAUAGCUCCAUGCCUAGCCCUUUUUUCUCUAAAAUCCAAAUUUCUGACCUCUCAAGUAAUUAUUUUUCUGGACCCCUACCAGUGAGAUACAUCAACAGCUUCAAGGCUAUCAUAAAUGUUGGUGUUAGAACAGAAACAAACAAGCUUGACUUUAGUCUUGUGCAGCAAGUCUCGAUGCUUGCUGAGCAAACAAUCGAGUUUGAGAAUAAAAUGAGGAAGAAAAGUAAUGAAAAUUGAGAGAACUUGAUGAACAAAUUUGAUUUCAUUCAUAAGUAAACAGCGGCAUGAUACCAAUACAUAAACCAAGCUCUAAGCUUGUCAAAAUCAAUAAGCAUUCACCUAAUUGUUACCUAACACCACUAAGCAUUGAAACUUGAAGUCAUUAACUUGUGCAUACAAGCAAAGCUGAAUUAACAGCUCAUACAUCUGCAAAUUACAUCAAUCAUCUACCAAACAUAGUUCUAAAUGAACUAAAUUACAUUUCAUUAACUAGAAAUUACAAAAUGAACAAAACUAGAUCAAUUGAGCUUGCAGCAGUAGCUUCUGCCUUGCUCGAUCUUCAUGGUCUGCAUGUUGGUUGGUGUGGCAGCAUGCUGGCCAACUUCAUCAAUAAAUCUAGAGCAGAUUGGGAGUACAAUGUCGUACAUGGGGGUGUAUGAUCGGAAUAGUAGUGGCUUCUAUACCUGUUCCAUUGGAAUUGUUAUGAAAGGACAAGAUAUGGAAUUGGUGAAAAUUUUCACCAUGUGGAUGAUCAUUGAUCUAUCAAACAAUCAGUUUGAAGGGGGUAUUCCAAAGGUUAUUGGGAAGCUUAACUUACUGAAAGGGCUCAACCUUUCUCAUAAUAACCUUAAUGGUGGUAUCCCCACCUCAAUAGGGAAUUUGACAAGUCUUGAAUGGUUGGACCUAUCUUCAAACAGGUUGUCUGGGACGAUUCCGAAUAGAUUGGCAGAUCUGCCAUUUCUUUCGUCCUUCAAUGUUUCUGAAAAUCAACUCCAUGGUCAGAUUCCUCAAGGGAAACAAUUCAACACAUUUGGAAAUGAUUCAUAUGAAGGGAAGAAGGGACUAUGCGGGUUUCUGGUCUCGAAAGGUUGCAACAUCAUUGAGCCAGCACCUCUAAAUGUGCUUGAAAAAGAUGGCUCAAAAUCAAACAUUACUUUUGGUUGGAAAGUGGUGUUGAUAGGUUAUGGAUGUGGAGUAGUGUUUGGAAUGGUCGUGGGAUAUGUUGUUUUCCAAACUGGUAAGCCGAAAUGGUUGGUGAAUUUGGUUGAAAUCCAACAUGAGAAGAAGCGAAGAAGAAAGUCAAAGGAUGGCAGUCGCAGCAAUGGACGAAGAAGGAUCUAGUUAGUGGAAAUGAUGUUCAAGUGUUGAUGUUGUAUCUUUAUAAUUUCUUGUUUUGAAGUCUUUCAAUUUUUUUCCUAUGGUGAAAGGUUGCAUUGGCAUGCAUCUGUCUUGAUUAUUGUAACAAUUCAGCUAUAUUUCACUGCAUUACGUACUAUUUAUAAGGGUUUGUUUUAAAUGUAACAUUUUGUAUGGUUUAACUAUUUAUGUCUUUUUUCAUGACUUUCAUUUUGGAGUCUGAAUAAUCUCUGCAUUCAAGAUUUUGUCAGCUUAUUAAUUGGUGGAUCAAUAAUCUUCAUGCUCAUCUCAUCAUCUUUUUCUUGAGUUAAACACAGUCAAUACUAUAACAAUUUCUUCUGUGUGGAAAAUAAUUUAGCAUUCUGCAAAUUUCCAUAAUGCUUGUGGAUUACCUUUGGUUGACAACUAUACAUAUAAAGGAAGGAAACAAGACUAUGUCAAAAUUUCCAAACAUUAGUCAUUCAUUUUUGAACAGUUAAACUUUCGUAUUCUAUUUUUCAAAAUUGUAAAUCCUCGAAUAAUGUAAAUUAGUCCUAAAACUCAAGUUUUGAAAUCUUUACAAUUUAACCCCUUAUAGUUUUGUUGGUUGGCAAUGGCCUUGUUGUUGUUUCCACUGUCUGUGGUCUUUGUUUCUAAGUUAUAUGUGGCCUUGUUUGCUAGAUCUUAGUUGCUAACUUAAAGGGAGUGAAUAGAGCACCAUUUUCUUCUUCUGCGUGGAAAAUAAAUUGGCAUUAUGCCAAAUUCCACAUUCAUACAUAUAAAGGAAGCAAGGCCAAGUCAAUAUAUUUUGUAAUCUCAUCAAUUCUUCUUCAUUCUUUGGGGAGUUCAAGUGAAAUACAAAUUUUUCCACAUCCAAUCUCAUAAAUAAUCCUUCUUUGAACUUUCACAAAAAAAUAAUAAAUACCCAUUCACUUUAAUUCUAGUAUUCUUAAAUCAUUAAAGUUUUGUGGAAAAUAUGCUUCUUGGAUAAAAUUAUUCAACACACAUGCCUUGAAUUUUAUGCAAUAAAAUAAAUGAAUAUAGGCCACACAUGCUUUGAAUUUUUAAGUAGUCCACAAUUUUGUUCGUUUGUGUGCAAAAUUCUACAUUGCUUGACAGCCAUACAUACUAAGUAAAUAGACACCCACAUUGUUUACGUAUUAUGAGGAAGAAGACCAAGUCAAUCUACUUUGUAAUCUCAUCAAUCUUAAUUUUCUCAGUUAUUUAGGGAGUUCAAAUGAAAUACAAAAUUUUGGAAAAAAAAUGUAUCCAAUUUUGUGAAUGAAAAAUAUAUGGUAAAAAGGGUUUGUUAUGGAUACUUCGGCCCCUGGUAUCAAUACUCAGGGUAAGUUUAUCGAUAGGUUAUGGAUGCGGGGUAGUGUUUGGAAUGGCCAUGGGAUGUGUUGUUUUCCAAACCGGUAAGGCGAAAAGGUUGGUGAAUUUGGUUGAAGACCAACAUGAGAAGAGGCGAAGAAGAAAGCCAAAAUAUAGCACUCGCAUCAAUGGAUGAAGAAGGAUCUAGUUGGUGCGAAUGAAGUUAAAGCAUUUCUGCUGUGUCUUCAUAAUUUCUUGUUUAGUACUCUGUCAGAAAAUUUUUCCUAUGGUGAAAAGUUGCAUUGCUAUGUGUCUGUUUUUAUGAUUGUACCAAUUCCUCUGUAUUUCAUUGCAUUUCGUACUGUUUGUAAGGGUUUAGUUCGAGUGGAACAUCUUGUAUGGUGCAACUAUGUAUGUCUUCUUUCUUGAAUUUCAAUUUUAGUAAACAUUAUACUGCUCACCAUAAAAAAAAUACAUGUAGAAUUACAAAAGAUUCAAUUAUUCAAGCUGUUUGAGUUGCAUUUAUAAACACGUGACGAUGAGAAUUCAUGAACAUAAGGUAUGGUUUGAGCCCUUUUGCCAUAUGCAUUUAUGUUGCAGAUGUUCAAACAUGGAAUAAUUCAACCUGCCAUAAGCAAGUGUGAAGUCAAUAGACAAUUGAUAGUCUUAGUCUUUGUCUUUUUUUGUCUGAGUUAAAGUGUAGUCAAUAGACAAUUGAUAGUCUUAGCCCUUUUUGUGGAGUUAAAUUUAUAGUCAAUAGACAAUUGGGACCAAACUUGACCUGUUAUAAGGAAGAAGACUUUGUAAUCUCACCAAUGUUAAUUAUUUUACUUCUUUGGUAAAAAAAAGUAAUUAAUUUUAUGAAUGAAAAAUAUACGGUAAAGAGGAAGUAGUUGUUGAUCACUAAUAACAUGAUGAUUGUGGAAAUACAAAAAAUCCCAUAUAUGUGUUGAAUUCUGCAUAAUGUAAAUGUCCCGCAUUGCAUGUGAAUUCUGCAAUAGACCAAACUUUAUGUGUUAUAGUCCUUUAAACUGAGUUAAUGAAAAGUAACCAUUCUUAUCAAAAUUAGUUAUACUCUUAAUUUAUAACAAAGAAAGGAGUAAUUUGAGUUUAACUCAAAGGUUAAUAUGUCAUCAAUGGGCGAUGGCGUGGUGCUACCAUGUCAGCCAUUAUUUUCUUCUUUGAGUUAAGGUGAUUUCACCAAUUUAAGUUUACUUUUUUACUUCAAUUUAGGUUUAUGCUUAUUACCUUCGAAGAUUCUAAGUGGGUGCCACAACCAAAGGGUGAGUAAAAAGGGUUAAAAAUAAUUUUUUUAAAAAUAUUUUUAUUUUUAUUAAAAAUUUAGAAUUAGAAUUAGAUAAAUUUUGUAAAUGUUAAGGGCUAACUUUAUUAAUUUUUUUUUCAUAAUUCGAACUAAAAUGACAAAUUUUGUAAAAAGCGCUAAAUUAGUUGAAUUUUUUAUAUUUAGGAUUAAAUUGAUAGAAUGUGUAAAUAUUAGAGGUUAAAAUUGUUAUUAGAUCAAUAAAAAACCCAUAUCAGCUUUCCGUCACUCAUCUAUCUACAACUAAAGGGAGAGCGAUUAAAAAAUUAGAAUGUUUGGAUCAUUUUUCUAAUUAAAGUCAUAGUGUAGGAGGCAAUUAAAUGCAUGCGCCACUCACGGUGGACGGUUUUGACAGCUGAUGACGUUGACAGUGCUCUUAAUCUGAGAAACGUGGAGGUACAUUUUCAAGUUUCAAAAAUUUUCUGUUUAUUGUAUUUUUUUAUUAUUCUUUUUCCUUUUUAGUUGAAAAUAGUGCUAAUUAAUGUUAUUUGUUUGACUAAUGUGAUAAUUUCUACUUCAUGUGUAUUAAUCCAUAAAUUUUAACAAGAGUGGAAUUUUGAGAACUUAGUUUUGGAAGUUUGAAUCUUAAGUUUAACCUGCUGCUUUAGAUUUUGCAUUUUGGUUAACUGGCUUGUGUUAUGUGUUUCUCUGGCAUCAGCCGAUAUGUGGAUUUGCCCCUCGUGAUGCACUACGAUUCAAGAAAGCUGCUGGGCAUAAGGAUUUGUUCUACAUUGAUGACAAAGAUGUGGAGUUUAAAGAAGUAGGAACUUAUCAACAAUAUUCGAGAUUCUGUUAUAUGUUGCCUUAUGUAUGUAGGUUCUUGAGUCACCUUUGCCAAGAGCACCACGUGAAUUUAUAUAAGUAUACACAUUUUUAUGAAAUACAAGAUCUUGCUAAAAGAAAAAGCAUAUAAAAGUAUAAACGUUUUUAUGAAAUACAAGAUUUUGCUAAAAGAAAAAGCAUCCAAUUUUAAGAAUGAAAAAUAUAUGGUAAAAGCAUCCAUAACUUUUCAAUGUAAAAGACAAAAAAGACUGUAACACCAAUGUUGUGGUAUUAUUUGUUGCCUAUAAAUACCAUUCCUAUCCUUCUUCUUCCUCUACAAACAUAACAUGGCCCCCUAUCUCUUUCUCUGCCUAUUCCUCUUCUUUCCCCAUCUUUAUGCUUCUUUUUCUUCUUCAGGAUCUCACUCCUGCUCUUCACUAAUCCAAUUUAAGGACUCUUUUUCCAUCACAGAGGAUGCUUCCUGGUAUUGCGAUGAGAUUGCUGGCCUUAAAUCUCAUCCCAAGACAGAUUCAUGGAAGGAGGGUACAGAUUGCUGCUCAUGGGAUGGGGUCACUUGUGACCACCUAAAUGCUCAUGUUAUUGCCCUUGACUUGAGCUGCAGUUGGCUAUCUGGCAACUUCCCUUCCAAUACCACUCUCUUCCUUCUUCCUCACCUUCAAAAACUCAACCUUGCCUACAAUCAUUUCAAUCAUUCCAAAAUUCCAUCCGAGUUCGGUCGGGUUUACAAGCCUAUUCUACCUCAACCUUUCUAAUACAUGGUUUGCAGGAGAAGUCCCAUCCCAAGUCUCGCACCUGUCAAAAUUGGUUUCACUUGAUCUCUCCUCUGAGUUUGGUGAACAAACAAUUGACAAACAUGCUCUGGAGGGACUUGUUCACAACCUAACCGAGGUCAGACAUCUGUUUUUGGAUGGAAUGGACAUGUCUUCUGUUAAUGCUCAUGUCUUCAUGAAUCUAUCCUCUUCUCUAAGGUCUCUCAGUCUUGCUUAUUGUGAUUUGCAAGGAAAAUUCCCAAAAAACAUUUUUGAUUUGCCAAACCUCAAUCUCCUCAACUUGAGAGGCAACCAAAACCUCAAUCUUGAUCCUUUGAAGUUCAAUCGGAGCAGCAAUCUUGAACAUUUGGAUCUGUCGUGGAUGUCCUCCUCUACAGAAUCCAUUGAUUCAGUUGAUAAUCUACAGGCCUUAAAGUACUUAGCUCUAUCAGGAAAUUCUUUCUUUCAACGAUUGUCUGUCUCAAUCACAAAAUUAUCUUAUUUGGAGUACUUGACACUUGAAGGCGCAAAUUUUUUUGGAGGAUUGCCUGACUCGAUGGGGAAUCUCGUGUCCUUGAAGUGUUUAGACUUGAGAUCAAACAAAUUGAGUGGACAAAUUCCAUUGUCAAUUCUAAACCUAACGCAGUUGGAAUACUUGGAUAUAUCUGAAAAUUCAUUAGAAGGUUCCAUUCCAGAUGAGGUAACCGCUUUUCCUAAUCUAAAACAUUUAGACUUAUCUGACAAUUUACUCAAUGGAACACUUCCGUCAUGGUUGUGUACUGUUCCCUCCUUAAAGAUAAUAUUUCUCUUUCAAAAUCAAUUCAGUGGGCAUAUCAAAGAAUUCCAAUCCAAAUCACUAGAAUUGAUAGUGUUACAGAAUAAUAAACUCCAAGGUCCUCUUCCAUCUUCAAUAUUCCAACUUCUCAAUCUUACAUCGCUUGCUUUAUCCUCAAAUAAUCUUAGUGGUGUCAUAGAGUUUAGCAUGUUCUCAAACCUUCCAAAUCUCGAAUAUCUUGACCUUUCAUAUAACAGCCUAUCCUUAACAUCUAAUACUACUUCUACUGUUAAUCAUAUAUUGCCUAAUCUUACAGACGUACUUUUGUCAUCUUGCAAUCUUAGUGAAUUCCCCCAAUUUUUGAAAGGGCUUAAAAGUUUGGAAAGGUUAGACCUCUCUUGCAACAAAAUUGAAGGCAAGAUUCCACAGUGGAUGCAAGAGGUGGGGAAUGUCUCUUUGACUUACUUCAACGUAUCUCACAACUCUUUGACAGAAGUUGAGCACUUUCCAUGGAAGAAUAUUGCAUUUCUUGACUUAAGCUCCAAUUUGGUCAGUGGAAAUCUUCCGAUUCCAGCUUCGACGAUCAGAGUCUUUCUGAUCUCAAAUAAUAGUUUCAAUGGAGAGGUCUCUUCUUUAAUAUGCAAUGCCAGUUCUCUUCAAAUUCUUGAUUUGUCCCACAAUAACUUGAGUGGAACAAUUCCGCAAUGUUUCGGAAAUUUGAGCGACAGCCUUGAAUUCUUGAAUCUGAAGAAGAACAAGUUUUAUGGGACGAUUCCUCCAACAUUUGCAGAGGGAUGCCAGUUGACUAAUUUCAACUUAAAUGGAAAUCUGUUAGAAGGGCCUUUGACACCAUCCAUCCUUAAUUGUAGAGGUCUGGAAGUGCUAGAUCUUGGUAACAACAAGAUCAAUGAUACAUUUCCUCAUUGGUUGGGAAAUCUUCCAUAUUUGCAAGUUCUUGUAUUGAAGUCAAAUCAUAUGCAUGGUUCUUUGCGUGUCAAUAGCUCCAAGUCUAGCCCCUUUUUCUCUAAAAUCCAAAUUUUUGACCUCUCAAGUAAUUAUUUUUCUGGACCCCUACCUGUGAGGUACAUCAACAGCUUCAAGGCUAUCAGAAAUCUAGAGAAGAUUCGUAGUACAGUGUCGUACAUGGGGGUGAAUGGUCGGAAUGGUAGUGGCUUCUAUACCUAUUCCAUUGGAAUUGUUAUGAAAGGACAAGAUAUGGAAUUGGUGAAAAUUUUCACCAUGUGGAUGAUCAUUGAUCUAUCAAACAAUCAGUUUGAAGGGGGUAUUCCAGAGGUUUUUGGAAAGCUUAACUUACUGAAAGGGCUCAACCUUUCUCAUAAUAACCUUAGUGGUGGUAUCCCCACCUCAAUAGGGAAUUUGACAAGUCUUGAAUGGUUGGACCUAUCUUCAAACAGGUUGUCUGGGACGAUUCCAAAUAGAUUGGCAGAUCUGGCAUUUCUUUCGUCCUUCAAUGUUUCUGAAAAUCAACUCCAUGGUCAGAUUCCUCAAGGAAAACAAUUCAACACAUUUGGAAAUGAUUCAUAUCAAGG